CAAAUCACUGUUAGGGCUCUACUGUACUGAAGAUAAAAGAGAAGUGGAGAGGAAGCAGAAUACAGAGAGGUGAAGUGAUUUGCUCAAGGUCACAUAGAAGAUGUUCUGGAUGAAAUCCCAACGUGAAUACUCUACUUGCAAGAUAGUUUACUCCACUUUGGAUAUGACUUGAAACUGGAAAGAACAAGUAAAAUUUUGGAACCCUUUCAGUUUGGGAUAUAAUAUAGGUGCUCAUGUUGUGGAUUAUAAUGGACAGACAGCCUGACUCCAUCCUACUGUGGGAUGCUUUGAGAGCGCUUGAAUUGACUUAGCUCCCAGGUUUCAUAUGGUUAUCAAUGGCCUUAACAGCCAGCCAAACCGGUAUCACAGGACAUCUGUCUCUUCCAAGACAAAACAGUAGGCAGAGGAUAACAUGUAUCCAACGCUACAGUCUGGCUGCAGCUCCCUCUUUGUCAGCUGCCUGUCUCUAACUGGCUUACCACUCACUGUGAUCAAAUUUCCUUUAUAAUUCUCCUUUAGUCUCAUGUUUUCCUUCUCUUUCUCUCUUAAUUUAUUAAUGAUUUUUCCUCCUCUGCAUUAUCUUUUGAACUCAUUCCAUUCCAUAGAAGUCAUCUUUGCGCCGCCUCAGUCUGCCUUUUUGGAAAGUGAUGUUUCUGCAUGCGUAUGAAAUAAAGGUCUGAAUUUUGAAUGUGCUAGGAAGAGGA
Long non-coding RNA from Alligator mississippiensis (American alligator), 704 nucleotides. RefSeq lists it as uncharacterized. The transcript has 4 exons. NCBI's taxonomy places the organism in Eukaryota, Metazoa, Chordata, Crocodylia, Alligatoridae. The record is from RefSeq and is a predicted model, not a curated record.